Long non-coding RNA from Neofelis nebulosa (Clouded leopard), 9158 nucleotides. RefSeq lists it as uncharacterized. The record is from RefSeq and is a predicted model, not a curated record. The transcript has 3 exons. Lineage: Eukaryota; Metazoa; Chordata; Mammalia; Carnivora; Felidae.
UGGGGACUCAGGGACUCCACGUGGUUGCCACUUCUCUGCAAGUCUACGGGGAUUCAAGACACAGAGCUCAGCGCCCACACCAGCGCUCUGUAGUUCAGCCCUCCCCACUGUCUUCCCCAGACACACCUGCGCAAGCACGGAAAGCCUGGUGGAGACGCUGCUCUAGCUCAGCCUGUGGCAGCAACUUCAAGGUCAUCAGUCGGAAACGGGGGUACGGCACACACUUUGCCGUGCGGUGUACCGGUUUCCAAAAGUUGAGAUCCAUACGCUCCAACGCAGGGAAAUGUCCAAGACCUAUUAAGUGAAAAAAGUAACCUGUAGAAAAGUGCAUACCAUUUAACCUUUGUUAUGCAGGCCGUAAGAAGGGACUUGUGUGUUUUGUGUUUUAUAUCCUGUCCCCUGGGCCUCUACCGGGAACACAGGAAUCCUGUAUUUCUUCUCUGGUUUAGAAACAAGAAGAGGGGCCUCUGGCUGGCUCAGUCGAUGGAGCAUGUGACUCUAGAUCUCAGGGUUGUGAGUUCAAACCCCAUGUUGGGUGUAGAGAUUAUUUAAAAAUAAAAUCUUCAGGGGUGCCGGGAUGGCUCAUUCGGGUAAGUGUCUGACUCUUGAUUUCAGCUCAGGUCUUGAUCUCAGGGUCGUGAGUUCAAGUCCCACACUGGGCUCCAUACCAGGCAUGGGGCGUACUAAAAAAAAAAAAAAAAGAAAGAAAGAAAGAAAGAAAGAAAGAAAGAAAGAAAGAAAGAAAGAAAGAAAGAAAGAAAGAAAAAGGAAGGAAGGAAGGAAGGAAGGAAGGAAGGAAGGAAGAAAAAGAAAAGAAAGAUAAAUUAAAGUAAAAUAUUUAAAAAAUUAAAAACAAGAAGAAAGUAAGUUUGGUGUGUUUUGCCUUCAAUGAGGUGAUCCUUUCUUUGGUUAAAAGUACUCUGGGUGAUCAUUUAGUUUUCAUGCUUUAUUUCAUAAGCAGUUUACUUUGAUAAAAACAAACAUGAAGACUGGAAUUUAACCUUCAGGGAGACUCUCUUACUGGCCCACCUUUGUGGCUCUUAGACUUGUUUCAGUAGAGGUGCUCUCAUUUGGGCCACGCCAGAGUUCUGGGGAAUCACGCUGGACCCCACGCCGCGUGUUGCUAUCUGGUUGCCGUGGGCAGAGUGUGCGUCCCACAGGAGGAGGGAGCACGGAGAGCAGAUCAGCCGCGGGAAGAACCCCACUGGGCCUGCUCUUGGCAGGCCGGGGUCAGCGUAGCUCCUGACACCCUUCCUGUGUCCUGAGCUUGCCUCGUCGUGAAAUGACGAUGAUGGGUGGUGAUGGUAGGAGGGUCCCCUGCUCUGCUCCGUGGCUGUUUUUAUGCCAAAAGAGAUUCUGUAUUUCUGGGACAGUAUCUGUGUUUCUUUGCAAACUGAUAACGUGCUUUUAAAAAUUACCCGAUUGACUGUUGUGCAUUAGUAUGUAUCCCUUUAGUUAACAUGGGAGACCUCACGAGACUCUGACAGCUCCGUAAGCCUGUUACCUGCUUGGACCUUCCUGUCUUUGUUUGUUUGUUUAUUUGUUUAUUUAUUUUGAGAGAGAGAACAUGAGCAGGGGAGGGGCAGAGAGGGGGAGAGAGAGAAUCCCAAGCAGGCUCCAUGCUGUCAACACAAAGCCUGACGUGGGGCUCGAUCCCACAAACCGUGAGGUCAUGACCUGAGCCAAAAUCAACCAACUGAGCCACCCAAGCGCCCCAACCUUCCCGUCUUUUUAUCUCUGAACUUGCAUUUAACGGGUCCCUCUUCCAUGCAGACUUCUUUUCAGGUAGGUUUCCUGGCUGGGAAAAGUAUAUACACUCCAGCAACCGGGGUGACUCUGGAUAUAAAAUUAGUUUGGAAAAAGAGUAGAGGGUCUGGACUGAGGAUUUGUUUGGGGGAGGGGAGUUCGGCUGGGGGCCACAUUCCGGGAAGGGUGAGACAGUGCUGUGUGGGCACAGACAUGCCCCUGUGCCCCUGUGCACGUGGCAGGAAGAGCCAGGCCUCCAAGGGCCUCUCGCCCGGUCCGCUGUCUGAAGGUGCCCUUCCUCUCCCGGACAGCACCUCCUCACCCUGGUGGCCAGUGUCUGCGUCCUUCAGGAUUGUAGCCCAGGGUGGUAUCGGACCUUGCCCAGAUCUCCUCCUUAACACCAGGGAACGCCACUAGGAUUUUUCCCAGAAGUCACUCCGCUUUUGUGGACUGCCCCCCUACUCUCCCAGGGACUGAUUUGGGGCAUCCUUCCACUGAGAGCUAGGAGCACCUGGCCUCCCGGAUUAGUCCUUAGCACACCUCAUGGUGGCAUCUGUGACUCCUGCCGCCCCUGGGUCCUCCCAUCCCUGUCAUGUGCCGGGGAGGCACAGUGUCCCCAUCUCUGUGGCCCCAGCGCACAGCUGGAGGGUCGGCAGCACCGUUCGACAGGCAUUGUUUAGGCUGAACACACAGUGAAAACUCAAGCCCUUUUUGAGUGAAUGCAGAGUCCUCAGCAAAUACCUUGUUUUAUUUUUUUAUUGUUAUUAUUUCUUUACUUUGAAAAAGAGAACAAGCUGGGGAGGGGCAGAGAGAGAGAGAGAGAGAGAGAGAGAAUCCCAGGCAGGCUCCACACGGCCAGCGUGGAGUCUGAUGUGGGGCUCAGACCCAUGAACCGCGAGAUCAUGACCUGAGCCGAAAUCUGGAGUUGGACGUUUAACUGACUGAGCCACCCGGGGGCCCCAGCAAAUAACCUUCUUAAAAUAAUGAGCCAUGUGUGUGUGACCAGUAGCUAGAAAAUGGGAGAACAGGUUUUCCAAGUGGUUAGGCUCUCUAACCUAAGGUUCCCAGGUUGGUGAGAACUUCUCCUAAGGAGACACAGGCAAUGGGGGGAGAGGGGCCCCUCCGCCUGGGUCCCCAAGCUCGGGCCUCUAAACAGAGAGGUGGCCGUGGUCAUCAAAUCCUGCAGGGGCUGUGUAGUUUUACUGGUCUUCACGGAGAGGAAUGGGAAGCAGGACAUUGAGAGAAGAACAUAAAUGCGUCUCGUAUGUCACAGAAUUGUAGAAGAGAGAGGCCUGUGUGGUCUUUCUGUCUUGGGGGCAUCGUGACUGUGGCCCGGAUUUCACCUCGGCGAUCCUGUGCCCCCCACCGUAUUCGGUGCUUUCGUAAGCCUGCUCCCCACACAUGCACUCCUGGUUUCCUUCUGUAACCCACGCUAGUUAAUAUAUUAUUUAUCACGUGUACAAUACAAGUUCCUACUGGCUGGUAACCUGUUCCCACAACUGAGCCAGUGUGCGGACAAAGGGCAAACCAAUUUUAAUUAUUAAGAAAACCAUUUCAGAAAAUAAGACAGAAGUACUCGUAAAUAUCAGCAGGGCAUGGCCCGUCCUAGGUAAAACAUGAAGAUCCUCUUUUUCUCCCCAUACAUGUUCAAAGGGUCAUUUAAUUUAUCGGCCAACUUGGCUAGUUGUCAACCUUUUAACUGUGUCUUUAUUUAGCCAGCAGAGGGCAGCACAGAUUGACUUUACCGCAUCCAGUAUUUUUUUUUUUUUUUUUUACUUUAAAACCAUUUAAAACUGCUGUACCAACUAUUUUCUAGCACAGUUUGAAUUUUUUCUUCUUUCUCAUCUGAGAAUUAGUAUUGCUGCUUCCCCGUCUUUGUGGAGGACAAUGUUUUGAUGUUUACAUUUAGCCUCACAAAUACUGUUACAUUCUUAUUUUGUGAAGUAUUUGUGACCUGUUUGCGAAAGUCUCCCCGGACUGGUGAGGCUGGUGAUGGUGGCUGCCGAGUGCAGUACGUAGGGACAUUGGUCCACUGUCACCAGAAAGUGGGGAGUCGUUUAGCCAGGGUCCCGGGACUGGUGCCACCUGGACCCGCCCCGGGAGGAGUGUGACCCCAGACGCGGGUUCUCGAGCACCAGGGCUCUGCGUGAGCGUCUGAUAAAUGUAUCCACCCUCUUCUCAGGAAAAAAUGCAUGUAAGCUCGGAAACAUACGGCUUCUCAGUUUUAUGGUGUUUUAUGCCAUCGAUAAUGGAUUUUCUUCACACAGAAAAAAAGACCAGAGUUUGUGAAGAAUUGUACCUUUCUAUUCUUUCCUUACGAGAGUUAAUGACUUCUUGGGAAAAAUUGAAAUUCAAAUUGUGUGUGAAAAGGAAAGGGCAGAAGGGCAUGGUUUAGAUUGUUGUUUUUUAAUAUAUACCUAAUUGAUUCUGACUUUUUUAAAGCAUUUUAUUUAAAAAUUUUUUAUUUUAUUUUAGAGAGUGCAAGACACCCCCCCCCCCCAGUGGGGAGGGGACCAGAGUGAGAGAGAAUCUUAGGCAGGCUCCACACUCAGCACAGAGCCCGACGCGGGGCUCAAUCUCACGACCAGGAUCAUGACCUGAGCUGAGAUCAGGAGUCAGAGGCUCGACUGACUGAGCCACCCAGGCGCCCGUUGACUUUUUCUUUUGAUGAUAAGAGUGCUUUAAAAAAAAAAAAAAAAGUGCCAGAAACUCUGCCUCACGGCAGUCCAUAUUGGCAGAUAGUCAGGAACCCCAGUACGCUCUCCUCCAGGUGCAAGGUUCGCAGUUGUCAUGGAAUGGCCAUGCUCUUUGAAUUCUUCGUUUGACUUCUUUGCAACACACACAUAUUUCCUUUGUCCUCAGCACCACCCCCCCUUUUUGGGCAAGAUCUAUUCAUAUCUGUGAGGAAAACAGUACAAAUGUGUGUCGUUUGUUUAUUUUAUUUCAUUAUUAUUAUUUUUUUGUGUUUAUUUUUGAGAGAGAGAGACAGAGCACGAGCAGGGAAUGGGCAGACAGACAGAGGGAGACACAGAAUCCGAAGCAGGCUCCAGGCUCCGAGCUAUCGGCACGGCGCCCGACGCGGGGCUUGAACCCACAAGCUGUGAGAUCAUGACCUGAGCUGAAGUCAGACACUCAACUCACUGAGCCACCCAGAUGUCCCUAAAUCCGUGUUUUUUAGGUAGCCUAAGCAGUGGUAACCUUCCAAAGAGUUUGCAGUAUGUGCAGGUGUGUGUGUGUGUGUGUGUGUGUGUGUGUGUGUGUUUUGCUGCAGAGAACUGCUGUUUGUGACCCCACCCCCCACGUACAGCGGCUCUUCUGGUGACGGUGUGCCCCGUGCCGCCCUCCUGCUGGCAGCUGGCCAGGAAGGAUCUAAGCUGCAGGGGAGGAGGCCAUCAGGAAGGGGAAUGAUUUACCCUCACAGCCCAGAAAGGCUGCAGGGCUCCAUGGGCCUCUGAGAACGGAGCUGAGGGGGAGGCUGGAAACGGGAGGCUGGAUGGAAGGUGUUCAUGGCGGGCAGGUAGGCUCUAGUCUCCUCUCCUCUGUCUUGCCGCAAGGCGAUGUCUCUUCCACUUUCUGUAAAACACGAAGAAGGUUUGACUCCCGAAGGAGGAUGUGGAGGUGCGUGGCCUCGAGCAUGCGCGCCCGGUCUCUCCUCCACCUGCCCCCCGGCCCCGGGUACUGCUGGCCAGGGUUACAACCCACACAGCCCAGGUGGGAGGUCGGAGGGUGGCUCUUGGGGUUAGUAGGACAGAGAACCCACAGAGUCGCUCCCGGGCUCUGCGCGGCACCCCUUUUUUAUUUACAGGGAGACCCAGCCCACCACACACCGCUUCCGAUCAGGUUGUUGGUGCCGGGCUCUUAGACAAGGAGAAACAGCCUGUGUUUACUAGACGUUUAAGGAAAAGCCUCCGCGUUAAAUAGGAGAACAACGCAAGUGGAAGAAAAGAUACUUGAGGAACCACACCAUAGCAGAACGUCUUAAAAGCCACGGACUUCAGAGUCUUAGGAGUGGUAUUAAUGAAACAAGAACAGGAUGCUAUCCAGAAGGAAUAUUCAGAAUUAAGAGUGAGUGCGUGCACCCUGAAAAUAGCAGAAAGGAAACACCGAGGGCCGAGCGUGGAGGACGAAGCAGAGAGCCGUCCGGUGCAGGUGGCCGUGACACGGUACCCCUGACCGGGUGGCCUCUGCAGCACACGUGUCUCUCUUUGGGUGUGAGGCUGGGGUCAGAGAGCCGGCCUGCGUCAGCGCCUCUUGCUGAACUCUCUCCUCCUGGCUCCCAGAGGGCCGCCCCGUGUGCCCACCAGCUACGGGGACAGCCAGCUGCCCUCUGGCCUCUCCCCGUGUGGCCGCCGGUCUCACGUGAGCAGGGACUCACAAGCCGAUUGCCUCCCAGAGGCCUCACCUCCAGACUCCAUCGCGGUAGGGUUUCAACACACAGAUUUGGGUGGACACAGGCCUUCGCUCCAUUGCCAGAACCCUUCCUAGAAAGUGGCUCGACGAGGAGAUGAAAAGCAGGGUGAAAAGAUAAAAACCAGAGGAUCCACGGCAGAGGGCCAGCGUCUAACAGAAACGCUGAGAGCAGCUGAGGAAAAGGGUAGGACAUCGUUAGAGAUCAUAAGACUUCAGAAUUGGGGUCUACCUAGGGGCCAGCAUGGUGCGUGGAAACGAACUCGCACCCGGGCACCUUGUGACGAAGCUGCACAGCACUGAGGGCAAGGGCCCCGAAAGCUUUCGGAGAGGGGAAGAAGGUCCCACGGAAAAUUCUGGGAGUCAGAAGGGCACUGUAGCUAACAGCACCGCGGGGACAGGGGACGACGAGGGAGUGCCUUCACCGUCGCGAGGAAAUGAUUUUAACUUACGGUUCUGUACCCAGACAACAUGCCGGUCGAGUGUGAGAGAAGAAGAGGGGUGUUUGUGGACACGCAGAAUCCACGCAGCAAUGAAGACCCGCCCCUGCGCGUCCUUGUUCUGUUAGCAGAGGGUAAUUCAGGAAAGAAAAACGCACGGCGUCAGAGGAACCAGAGCCGGCAAGUGCCAGGGGGACGGGGGGAAGCUGCAAGGCCAGGCCGCGGAGGCGCGUGGAGGCUUUUGGAGGGCCGUCGCCAAACACAGGCCGCUCCGAAUGUCUGACCCCGUGGACAGUUUCCUGCCUUAGUGUCGAGAGUUUGCCAUUCGGCCCGUAACGCAGAGAACUCGGCAAACGGAAAAAAAGAGACACUUAGCGCCCGUCUAUGGUAAUUUUAACCACAGUAGGUUCUAUAGCUAAGUCGUGAGCAGUAUUUAUGGAAAUAGUAAGUGUUGAUUGAACCCAGGAUUUACGUGUGACUCUACCGCGUGCGUGCCAGUGUGUGUGUGUGUGUGUGUGUGUGUGUGUGUGUGUGUGUGUGUGUUGGGGGGGGGAGGGGAGAGGUAGAAGCCAAGCCUUCGUCCAUCGUGGCAGGCGGUUGGUGUCCAGAACUGAAAACUCGGGAGCACAUCGUGUGGGUGUGUUACUUGGAAACAGGGAGGUGAUUAGCAGAAGGCCUAGCUAAGAGGGCUACCUCUGUGGAGCACGACGCAAGGGUGGGGGAUACGGUUGGGCAGGAAACUGUGGGUUUCUGUUUUAAGCCAUAGGUACUGUUUGUUUUUUGUACGACGUGUGCAUGUUCCUCUCGUUGAAGAAGAUGAACCAGGCAUGAAGGGUCAGAGAAAGAUCCGGAGGGGCUGCUAGCAGGGUCGCGUUAAGGAGGGUCUUAAGCCCAUGAGGAGGAGCUGAGACUUCUAGGCAGCUGAUGGGGCCGAGGCAGACCUAAGGGGAGGUGCCCGGCAGCCUGUGUUUUGGGGUCCGCCCUUCUCCAUCCUGCUCUGCUGGAGGCUGCCUGGGUGCACUGUGCCCGCAGGCUCCCCUGCCCUCGGCCCCCGCCGGAGUUGUCCACGCGGUUGGUCAGAGGAGAACGAGGUCCAGGUAUUUUCUCCCUGCCAGGCGGCUGAGGGUUAGCCGAGUCCUGUCCCCAAGGCGGCCAGCCACCGCCACCUGCGGGCCUGGCCCUGAUAGGGUGCUCCUUCCUGCUGACCCUGGGGUGCUUCCCCGCCACUUGUGGGUCUCCCCAGACCCCACCCUUACUUCUGUAGACAGUGUCUCAGUUCACCCUCCAGACUCCCGCUCCUUGGGAUCAUGACUGCUGUAGGUAUCACGCAGAGAGAAAAGUUUCCCCGGGACGUGACAUGAAUAUUCAUGCACGUUUCCUCCCAGCGUCAUUUCAAACCAUCACGAGGUUGCACGUUCCCGCCUGCCUGUCCCCAGAGAAGACGAGACGGGGGUAAAGGACUCAGGCUAUUGAAGGUGUUUUAUCCAUUGAAAACAUAACACGUCUUGAGUCAAAACACCGCCAAUCCAAGCGCCUUCACGUGUGAGGUGGAUGCGAGUAGCUACAAAGGGCUGUCUUCCCUCUGUUGGUUUCGUACUUGCUGUGGGGCUGGGCCAGGGGCUGGGCCGCCCAUCUCGUUACUCACACGGCUCUGAGGCCUGGGCAACUGUUGCGCUUUUGUAUUUUCCUUGUUUUCCCAGUGAGUUCAGAGUGUGCUUUGAACUUGUGCACAGCUCCGUUGAAGGAGCCGCGUAUGAUCUUGGUGCUGUAUCUGGGACUGAUGCUGGAGCUGUGCCUGGCGAGUAGGGUGGCACUUUGUUUCCGUUUGCCCGGGAAGGCCAGGUGUCUGCCUGUUGGCUGACGUGCUUAUAAAUAGCACCCACCUGCAAUCUGAAAAAUGUCCCAAGAUCUGGGGGAGUCCGUCAGCAAGUCCCUGGCGCUGCCUUCCAAGUGAAUAGAGCAGGACUUUGAUCACUGUCCCGUCGCCCCUUGCCUGGGUGGCGGCAGCGGCCUCCCUGCCCGUCUCCCUGCUUGUGCCCCUGCUGCCCCGCGGCCGGAGUCAUGACAGCGGAAGUCCGCUCCUUCACUUCGUGCCCGCCCCUGGCAGCGCCUCCCCGUCUCACCCACCGUGGAAACAAGUCCCGAAAACAGCCCCCAAGGCCCUCCGCAGCUCUCCCCUGCCUUCCCCGCCCUCCGGCCUCGCCUUCCCCUCCCGCCACUGUCUGCUCCGCUCCAGGCCGGGGCCAGGGGCAGCCAGCCCUGACCCGCUGGGCGCUUACCUGCCCACGUACGUGCAUUGUCCUCCCCGCUGCCCUCCCUCCCCAGCCCCUGCAGUCCUACGUGCCAUGGAGGCCGGUGCCCGGCACGCCGUGGGGUACCCAGCACCCCACGUGCCUGGAACGAAGCCAGUGGAGGAAGAGAUUACAUAUUUGAUUGUAACACACAGAAACUUCUAUAAAGGGAAAAGAUACCACCACUGCUAUUAAAAACAAGCGACCGGUUGUGAGAAAAGAUUUGCGACGUUAAAAUAAAUGUGGUUUUUUUGACGUUUAUUUAUUUUUUGAG